RNAcentral lists this ribosomal RNA (253 nucleotides) under uncultured bacterium. Its description in RNAcentral is "partial 16S ribosomal RNA". It matches the Rfam family "Bacterial small subunit ribosomal RNA", at positions 524 to 776 of the family's 1533-position model. The record is from RNAcentral.
UACGUAGGGGGCAAGCGUUGUCCGGAUUUAUUGGGCGUAAAGAGCGUGUAGGCGGCCAUGUAGGUCCGUUGUGAAAACUCGAGGCUCAACCUCGAGACGCCGAUGGAAACCAUAUGGCUAGAGUCCGGAAGAGGAGAGUGGAAUUCCUGGUGUAGCGGUGAAAUGCGCAGAUAUCAGGAAGAACACCCGCGGCUAAGGCGGCUCUCUAGUACGGUACUGACGCUGAGACGCGAAAGCGUGGGGAGCGAACAGG